CAGCAGCUGGUUUUCCUCAAGCCCAGUACUCGCCGGAGUUAUUCCACACAAAGCCAUCAGCGUCUCAUAUGAUGAUCAUCAAAAGUGUCAUGAAUCACUAUCUGGACCCAGCCUAUUUUUAUUCUGCAUGCAAUGUGCCAAGAAGGAGCUGUGAUCAGCCAGCCCUGGUGAAUUGAGAGUCCAUCAGGACGGGAGCCUGAUUACUGAAAGACUGCGGCUCCACGAUAAGACCCAGACCCGGAAGACAGGCUUGGCUCAGCUGGGAGGGCAUUGUUUUCAGCCGAAAGGCCCCAAGAACAACUAAAGCAGGAUUCCUUUGAAACACUCUCUCCUGUCCAAAACAAUAGAUGCUGCUUGGAUGUCUGCCUGCACACUGUCAGAGCAAAGGGAGCUGCUGUUGGGUCGUG
Long non-coding RNA from Anguilla anguilla (European eel), 407 nucleotides. RefSeq lists it as uncharacterized. NCBI's taxonomy places the organism in Eukaryota, Metazoa, Chordata, Actinopteri, Anguilliformes, Anguillidae. The record is from RefSeq and is a predicted model, not a curated record. The transcript is spliced from 3 exons.